RNAcentral lists this ribosomal RNA (251 nucleotides) under uncultured bacterium. RNAcentral's name for it is "partial 16S ribosomal RNA". It matches the Rfam family "Bacterial small subunit ribosomal RNA", at positions 15 to 263 of the family's 1533-position model. The record is from RNAcentral.
GAUCCUGGCUCAGAUUGAACGCUGGCGGCAGGCCUAACACAUGCAAGUCGAACGGUAACAGGAAACAGCUUGCUGUUUCGCUGACGAGUGGCGGACGGGUGGGUAAUGUCUGGGAAACUGCCUGAUGGAGGGGGAUAACUACUGGAAACGGUAGCUAAUACCGCAUAACGUCGCAAGACCAAAGAGGGGGACCUUCGGGCCUCUUGCCAUCGGAUGUGCCCAGAUGGGAUUAGCUAGUAGGUGGGUAACGG